UACCCCAUAAAACAACUUAAAACUUACUUAAAACAUAUAAGGAGCUUAAGAUCGGCUCUUACCUCUUGAAGAUCGAGAGGGAGACGACCUAAACUUGGAGAUCCACGAAAAUGAGCUCCUGAGUUCCCAAAGCUCCAAAACUUGUUUCAAAAGUUCAAAACCUUCAAUGCAAGCUUAAAACUCAAGAAAAAUGGUGGGGAUUUGAAGGAAGAACAC
RNAcentral lists this long non-coding RNA (216 nucleotides) under Manihot esculenta (cassava). RNAcentral describes it as "long non-coding RNA (MESC_LNC007876)". Lineage: Eukaryota; Viridiplantae; Streptophyta; Magnoliopsida; Malpighiales; Euphorbiaceae. The record is from RNAcentral.